ACUGAGUUUGUAACCAGUUACACUGACAAAAUUUCCCUUCUCGCUAUAGAGCAGAUUAAUUAAUAUUUAACUUAUAAAGUAAAAUCUCCUUUGGCAACUGUUAGAAUGAUAUACAUUGUUGGACCCUUCAUCUAAAAGUUUAAACUGUUAGAUGAGUUGGUUACUUAACAUGGUAUCAGAGCUCUGGAGUGUGCAAGGUCUUGGGUUCAAAUCUUCCCAGCUACACAAUUCAUUUGAUGAGGAGCCUUGGUCCGGAAGGUAUUCUAACAUAUCGAAGAACACUAAUUUAAAGCAAAUGACAGGUAAUGAGAAUACAAGAAAACACAAUAGAGAAAUAUGGAGAACAUCCACAGGAAAUGAGUCAAGUUCAACAGCUUGUCUAUCAGUAAGCAAAGGUAAAGUAUCGUCUGUUAACAAUCCCUUCUUGUAAUUUUGGAGGCGAAGGCUUACCAACAUGCUUCUAGUUUUCUUAUAGUGCUCAUCCUCAGCUUGGGGCUGGGAAUUCUUACACAGUAGCUGCAUCAACGCACGGAAACUAAUUUAAGAACCAGAAGUAUUCACAAGAACAUAGUUACAGAUUCAGCUUAACAAUUCCGACUACUUGAAGAAUGACAUAAAGCAGAUGAAUGGUGCACAGAUGUAUUCAUCUAAUUAUAUGUUCCAUCAGGUGUCAUAGAAGGUAACUCCAAAAUCUAGUCUUUAUAAUUUGGACACAUGUAAUAGAUAACUAUUUUUCUUUAUGCAUGGUUCUUUUCUAAACUUGGAUUCUGUUAGUAGGAAUCUAAGUUCUUCAAAGUCAGGCACCAAAACCCAAAUUAGUGCGAUAGAAAUCAUAGAAAUGAAACUAUAAGUAUAGUAACACAUUGAUAAUAACAUGUUCUGUUCAGUAAUAUGUGGGUAUGCACAUACCUAGUUAGGUAGGGCAGGUCCUAACUUUCCAGAGUGAUUAGGACCACCCAAUCUACUCGCCAAUGAAAACAUACCGCAAUGAUUAAUUCAUAAUCUUAGACUAGUGCACAUGUAAAAGAAUUAAGGAUAGGCCAAUAUUAAACCGUCGUAGAAUAAUAUUUAAAUUGCGGUCUUGUACCAAAGGACCCCCUGCAAGAUAUUAAACCGCCUGUUACAAAAGAGUGAAAGUUCUCCACGAAUAUACAGUUGAAAGAAUGCAUUUAAUAGCACAACUUGGCACCUUAUAAUUGGAAUGAGAGAACUUCCACUUUUAUGGCUUUAUUCGUCUAUAUAUCAUCAUCAUCAUCAUCAUAAAUCCACAACUUUAAGCAGUAAAAGCAAAAGUUCCUAGUUCAAAAUCUAUUACAGAUGAAAAACACUUGGUACGUAACAUAAAGAAUCUAAUAUCCCAAAAGCUUUGAUUGGUAAACAAUCAAAAGACACAAUUUUCAUCAAUUCAAGUCGAUUAUAAGGCAACCAGUGUUUAAGCUAAACACACAUAUCACAUAUUAAUUGUAACAUAGCACCAAUUAUAUGGUUUGCAUUUUUUUAUACUUAACCACCUCUAGUUAAAAAACCAUCACCUGUGAAUUCAAAAGGUUAAAUUGCAUUUACCAAAGAUAAAUCUCAAGUUUUCAAGGAACGAUCUUUGUUCAAGCAUAUAUAUGAUUAUUUACUCAUGUUGUGUUAUUCAAUAUCGACUAUAUGUCAUGUUGCUAGCGAGUUUACGCAUCUGAAGCUAACAUUUAGACUGAUCAAAAAUUUUCGAUUCCAACAUUUUCUAUUAAGGGCAAGAAACAUUGUUUAGUUUCUCUAUUGCCAAUCCCAAUUCUUUAGUUACCUUCAAUAGUUUUUGUAACAUGUAAUUAAUUGUACUACAUCAUUUAUGAGCCAAAGAGGAUAUUUUUGUAACAUAUAAAAGGAAUUGGAAAGGUCGUAAACCUGGGCUUGCUGGAGAGAAGUCGUGGCUUUGGGAUUAAGGUCGACAUAAGUUUGUUGAUUCUUCAAAAGUGUUUAUAUAUCUGGAACAGGAGGGCUAAGACCCAGUCAAAAAAUUGAAAAUUUUAUCAACUAAUCAGCUGAGUUAUUUUACAUGGUUUGAGCAUCUGAUUAAUUGCAAUCUUAAUUAGGGACCCAAUUCCCCUCAUCACAAAAGUUAAGUGUGCGCGCUCGCACACACAUAUAUGAAAGAUUAAUCGAGGAUACAAAGAGGUAGCUAACCGCAAGAUCAGACUUUUGGGUUUUGGAUUUCUUUAUUAUGAGAUUGGGGAUGGAAUCACUGAGAAGCAAUUCCUUUCUUUGGAAAUUAAUUCAUGGAGGAUUUUGUCCACGCAAACUAAGCAGAGGCAAGCACUGAGAUAAUCGUUAGGGAGGCUCCUACCAACAUAUCAACUUGAAUCCAGUCAUGCCAUAUAAUAUUUAAUGCAAGUAGUCAUUAUAAAGGUGCCCCAAAGAUUCCAAAAUUAAAUUUAGAAACUGACAACAGCAAAAGAUACAACUCAAAGAAAAGAAAUAGAGUUGAAUAAAGAAUGAACCAUUCUGUCUACAAUCCAAAAAUGCCUCAAGUUUUGAGAGUUGUUAGAAGCCAACAACUUCAUUACCUUUUAACAAUCAUCAUAUCUUGGAACUUUCGCAGUUUGACAAGGGCACAGUUGCAUACAAGUUGCUAUAAGUCAACAACUAAACUACAUGACAGGUAAGUUUCAACUAUUUUCAUCAAAAAAUCCUUCUUUUCGACAAGUCAAACAAUUCCUAAAUAUGUAAUCAAUAAUAGGAAAAAUCUCUAAAGGGAACUGUUUUUCACAAGUAAAAUUUGAUAUUUCCAUCUCACGAGUAUGGGACCAUUUAAUGUGAGAGGGAGCUUGUGGAACUCACUUUUACUUGUGGAAUUAUCAAUUCCCUCUCUGAAAUCAAAUAACUAAACAACAAAUCUAAGCACAUCACGCCUAACUUCAACUAGAACAAGUCCCAUGAAAUGCUAAGUUGGUGCAGUACGUUAUAAGGCUGGUCUGAAAACGUCUUCGUAGCUAGAGGUGUUUAAUCAAGAUCUUGCCAGAUAGUCACAACUCACAACAUAAAUUCAAUUUCAAAAAGACAUACAAAUCAUCUCAGACUCGUCCAACAAAGAUAAUCAUUUCCUCUCUCAGCAAGGAGAAAAUUCAUCCAAUGAAGAUUUAUUUGGCAGUAUUAUUCACAAAAACAUUCAUCUUUCCAUUGCUAUAUAGCUCCAAAAGUUGAGAAUACUGUCUUAUGCUAAAGUACAUAUUGAAGAAUGUUUAAGCUGGAUAGAAAAGCUAGACCAAUAAACCCUCGUUCAAUUCAAAAUUAGAAAAUAAUUACAUUAAAGAAUCUGAUAAUGCAGAACAUGUAUAAAUAGAUCAUACCAACAUUGUGAUUAGCCCGAACUGAACUCGUCUAUACUGCUUUAUCCAUUAAGUGCCACCUAAGGCAGAAGAAUACACUAAUCGUAAUGCUCAUUGCUUUAGAAAGAUGAAAGACCCUAUACACUCACAGAUAAUUUGUGUUAGAUGAAAGACCUGCAUAGUAACUCUGAACCAGAUUACGGCAUGAAGCAGCCAGCCAUAUAUCUGUAUUAGGUAACAAAUUUGAGCAGGUUCUUGUAAUCUGUUGUUAUUCAAAGAUGUCCAACAGCCAUGGAGAAAGAUAAAAUUGAAGGUGGAAACUAAAUUUAAAUAGCGACCUUUUCCUCUUGAGAAAUUUGAAUCAGAAAUAACAAGGGUUCUCGCCUUCACUGAACCACUGCAAGUCUGCAACUGUUACCCAAAUUGAGUUGGCAGCAGUAACCACGAUUCAGGCAGUUAAAUAGCAUUAAUGCGCAGGGAAGUGCUGCUUAAACUUAACGCAUAAGAUCAGUGAUAGCUGGACGAAAUAACGCAAUUAUAAAACGGGCGAAAGGAACUGUUUGUGCAUUAUAGUUUCUCUUCAUUGCUCAACAGGCACAGAAAAGAUGCUAUGAAACAAACUCAAAAAGGCCAUUAACUGAAAAAAAUAUGCAGCUGCUGCAAUUUUCCCAAUCUUCAUCAUAAUAAGGUGACUCCCAUGUCUGCACAGCAAAACAAAGGAGAUCCAAAUAUGUUCUGCAAAAAAAAGAGGAUCAAAAUUGUCAGAAAGUACAUGCUUCCAAUAAGCUUUCAGAAUAUAAUAAUUAAUUUUUAAUGCAAUAAGCUAUUUUCAGCUCUCCUGAGUGGCACAUCAACCCUUGCAAAAUGACAUUAAUUUUCAGGAACCAAAUGUUAGAGCAGCCAGAUUGAGAAAAACAAAUACAAAAAAAAAAAAUAUAAAAACAAAAAAUAGAAGAUGAACUGGUUUGUCCUUCUCAAACCUGGAAAACAGUAGGAAAGUCAGGCAAGAUAAAAUAAAGAGAACAAAGUUUCUACCCUAUCCUAGAUGUUAUGAUCAUCAUUUGAACUAACUAAAUCCAAUGAAGCAUGAGCCAACAACACAAUUAAAAACUAUUAUGACAUUGAGAUGGAGAUAAUAAACUAUAUCUAAAAUAAUAAACUAGUGUCAAAACAAUUCAUCAAAUGCAGUGGUUCGACAAAGUUGAAAAAACAAACAAGUGGUCAAACCCUGUAACUAUCAAGACACCUAAAGCACCCUGUAAUUAUCAUAGUUCAGAUUUUGUAGCUGCUCAAAUGCAACUCGGACUUCAUAAUAGAAGAUAAUAUUAAUAUACCAUUGUCAAACUCCUACGGAUAGUUUGGUAUUUGAAGCUCUACAAUACAUUCCUGAUUCAAAUAUAAGUUGUUCCUACAGAUGAGCAGGACAAUCACAUCCGCCAUUUAAGUUCCCAAAUGAAGCUCAAAUAUCCAUACUUUCCGAAAAAAGAGAUAUUCAGAAAGAAGAAAGAAAAGAGAAGAAAGAGGAUAGGAGUUUGUCGAUGAUAAUUUUAUGUCUAGCUAAUAUCCAUGCCAUCUCCAAUUUGACUGCAGAUUGGACCAACAGCAGAGAAGGAUCUCUCAAAAGGAGAGGGAUGAAAUUGCGCACUCCGUCUGCGCUUAAAAGUGCAAAUAUCAGAAGGGGAACUCUCAGCAUCAAGCUUCCUACGGGCACCUUUCACAGCCUGUUCCUCCGCCGGAGUUAGAGGGAAAACCUGCCUGCUCACUCUGCAAAGGGAGCUAUUGUUAUCAUACAGUAUUCUCUGGUUACAGUUUUUGUCACAGAUGUGAGUGAGUCCAGUUAGUCUGCAGCAAUACACGUUUCCACACACAUGUUCGUUUUCACAUUUCCAGUCGCAUUUGUGAACAGAGUGUGGCCCAUCUUGGCCUAGAAUACUUGACAGAUAAAUAACAUUUGUAGGCACCGCAACCAUAGAUUUUCCAUAUACCUCCAUUACUUCAGUCUAGCAGCAAGCUCCAAAGUCUUAAUGAAGAUUCGACACUCCUAAUGCCUUGCCCUAAUGUUCUGCAGGCCCAACACAACACAAGAAACUGUCAAUUUUGAUGGGACCGACAUGCAGCUCUAUGGACAAUGAUGAUGCAUCUGAAAGUUCUUUUUAACAUUUGUCCAUAGACUUCUAAAACAAUAAAUUAGAUAACAACAAUUCUCUUACUAUGUUUAGAAUCCGAAAAUAGUCAGAGAAUGUUCUAAAUAAAGGUCUCCCUCUAAGCAAGUACACAUAACUACUUAUAUCAUGGUAGACUUGGGAAAUUCAUUACUCGAAAGGCUUCAGUUAUGUAAAAGUCAACCUAGGGUUAAACAUGGCAAUUAUAUUCUCCCAUAUUAUUUUGAACUUUUAAUCUCAACAUAUAGUAAAUAAAGUGAGCAGAAAGCAAUAACCAGAACUAUGUUCUCCUAUGGCUAAUAAUACUGAUUCAUCUUAGAUUCAAUAAAUAAUUCAGGUCCUGCUCAUUAUUUAAUACUGGCUUCCUUAUACAUGUACAUGGAGCGAAACCUACCCACUUGGCUUCUAAACAAUCUAAAUCAAUAUCCUAAAAUUUGUAAUUUUAGCACAACACAUCAAAGAAGUACCCCCUAGCUAGCAUCAUAAAUCAUUUGCUUUCCACUCCAUUAGUAUCAUCAUGAAAUAGAAACAUAUGGGUAACAGUGUUAAUUACACCAAAUUAAACAAAUCAGCUCACUAUAUUCACAAUCUAAUAAAACAUCAAGAAAAUUCAUCCCGGAACAGGAUAAAAAUAAAAAACUAAACCCCUAGAAGCAUGAAAUGGUAAAGUAGAUUCUACCCCAUGAAUUCAAAGUCAAAUGUCUAGCAAAACCAUACAAUAUCAUUCAAAGAAAUAAUAGAAACAUACAUAAUACACAUAUAUAAUACAGAAUGAACUGAAAACUGAAAAGUACCCAAAUGGCAAAAACAGUAUUUUUCUGCAUUCAUACAUACACACAUACCCACAUAAAGAAAGAAAAAAAUCAACUUUGAAAGGGAAGGGAAAAGGCCAAGAACUCACCAAGUAACAAACAAGAAGAUUCACCUCCUUCUCUCUCUCCUACCCUUUAUCUCUCACUAGGCGUGGGUAGCUAAUGAAGCAAGAAAUGGCGAGAGGAGGGAGAGGGAGUGAGAUAUUUAUAGAAUAAAAACAAGGUGAUCCGAUUAUGGUGUAUACUGUUUAAUAGGGGAGUAGAUGUAAAUGCACGUGAAAUUAAACUGAAAUUUAG
This 6582-nucleotide long non-coding RNA is filed under the name Panax ginseng (ginseng). Its description in RNAcentral is "long non-coding RNA (PGIN_LNC017918)". Lineage: Eukaryota; Viridiplantae; Streptophyta; Magnoliopsida; Apiales; Araliaceae. The record is from RNAcentral.